GACGAACGCUGGCGGCGUGCUUAACACAUGCAAGUCGAGCGGAAAGGCCCUUCGGGGUACUCGAGCGGCGAACGGGUGAGUAACACGUGAGUAACCUGCCCCAGACUUUGGGAUAACCCUCGGAAACGGGGGCUAAUACCGGAUACGACACAGCUUCGCAUGGGGUCUGUGUGGAAAGUUUUUCGGUUUGGGAUGGGCUCGCGGCCUAUCAGCUUGUUGGUGGGGUGAUGGCCUACCAAGGCGACGACGGGUAGCCGGCCUGAGAGGGCGACCGGCCACACUGGGACUGAGACACGGCCCAGACUCCUACGGGAGGCAGCAGUGGGGAAUAUUGCACAGUGGGCGGAAGCCUGAUGCAGCGACGCCGCGUGAGGGAUGACGGCCUUCGGGUUGUAAACCUCUUUCAGCAGGGACGAAGCGUAAGUGACGGUACCUGCAGAAGAAGCGCCGGCCAACUACGUG
Molecule: ribosomal RNA, 462 nt
Filed under: uncultured bacterium
Lineage: Bacteria
Description: partial 16S ribosomal RNA
Rfam family: Bacterial small subunit ribosomal RNA
Source: RNAcentral